RNAcentral lists this ribosomal RNA (539 nucleotides) under uncultured bacterium. Its description in RNAcentral is "bacterial SSU rRNA". It matches the Rfam family "Bacterial small subunit ribosomal RNA", at positions 30 to 543 of the family's 1533-position model. The record is from RNAcentral.
AUUGAACGCUGGCGGCAUGCCUUACACAUGCAAGUCGAACGGCAGCAUGGGUGCUUGCACCUGAUGGCGAGUGGCGAACGGGUGAGUAAUGCAUCGGAACGUACCCCGGAAGUGGGGGAUAACGUAGCGAAAGUUACGCUAAUACCGCAUAUUCUGUGAGCAGGAAAGCGGGGGAUCGCAAGACCUCGCGCUUCCGGAGCGGCCGAUGUCGGAUUAGCUAGUUGGCGGGGUAAAGGCCCACCAAGGCAACGAUCCGUAGCGGGUCUGAGAGGAUGAUCGCCACACUGGGACUGAGACACGGCCCAGACUCCUACGGGAGGCAGCAGUGGGGAAUUUUGGACAAUGGGCGCAAGCCUGAUCCAGCCAUGCCGCGUGAGUGAAGAAGGCCUCGGGUUGUAAGGUACGUACUUUCGUCGUCGGGUAGGAAAGUACGACGACUACUCCCUAACUUACCGGGGUAGGGUUAGGGUAGUGGUACGGUACCCGACGGACGACUAAGAAAGACGACCGGACCGUAACCGUAACCGUUACGGUACCCG